Molecule: ribosomal RNA, 264 nt
Filed under: uncultured soil bacterium
Lineage: Bacteria
Description: partial 16S ribosomal RNA
Rfam family: Bacterial small subunit ribosomal RNA
Source: RNAcentral
AGGACGAACGCUGGCGGCGUGCUUAACACAUGCAAGUCAAGGGGGCCCGCAAGGGCAACCGGCGAACGGGUGCGUAACACGUGAGCAACCUGCCGAAUGCGUGGGGGAUAGCCGGCCCAACGGCCGGGUAGUACCGCAUACGUUCCCUUGGGGGAGUCCCUGGGGGAGGAAAGCUGUGGCGUAAGCCAUGGCGCGCGUCGAGGGGCUCGCGGCUUAUCAGCUAGUUGGUGUGGGUAACGGCCCACCAAGGCGACGACGAGUAGC